GCCCCGGUAGCUCAGCCCGGUUAGAGCGGCGGGCUGCAGACCCGUAGGUCCCGGGUUCAAAUCCCGGCCGGGGCUCCA
RNAcentral lists this transfer RNA (78 nucleotides) under Caldivirga sp. JCHS_4. Its description in RNAcentral is "tRNA-Cys". It matches the Rfam family "tRNA". From Rfam's summary of the family: Transfer RNA (tRNA) molecules are approximately 80 nucleotides in length. Their secondary structure includes four short double-helical elements and three loops (D, anti-codon, and T loops). RNAcentral also lists the same sequence under 2 other names. Lineage: Archaea; Thermoproteati; Thermoproteota; Thermoprotei; Thermoproteales; Thermoproteaceae. The record is from RNAcentral.